GAUGAACGCUGGCGGCGUGCCUAAUACAUGCAAGUCGAGCGAACAGAUAAGGAGCUUGCUCCUUUGACGUUAGCGGCGGACGGGUGAGUAACACGUGGGUAACCUACCUAUAAGACUGGGAUAACUUCGGGAAACCGGAGCUAAUACCGGAUAACAUUUGGAACCGCAUGGUUCUAAAGUGAAAGAUGGUUUUGCUAUCACUUAUAGAUGGACCCGCGCCGUAUUAGCUAGUUGGUAAGGUAACGGCUUACCAAGGCGACGAUACGUAGCCGACCUGACAGGGUGAUCGGCCACACUGGAACUGAGACACGGUCCAGACUCCUACGGGAGGCAGCAGUAGGGAAUCUUCCGCAAUGGGCGAAAGCCUGACGGAGCAACGCCGCGUGAGUGAUGAAGGGUUUCGGCUCGUAAAACUAUGUUAUUAGGGAAGAACAAAUGUGUAAGUAACUGUGCACGUCUUGACGGUACCUAAUCAGAAAGCCACGGCUAACUACGUG
RNAcentral lists this ribosomal RNA (497 nucleotides) under uncultured bacterium. Its description in RNAcentral is "partial 16S ribosomal RNA". It matches the Rfam family "Bacterial small subunit ribosomal RNA", at positions 28 to 507 of the family's 1533-position model. The record is from RNAcentral.